Molecule: ribosomal RNA, 628 nt
Filed under: uncultured Russulaceae
Lineage: Eukaryota; Fungi; Basidiomycota; Agaricomycetes; Russulales; Russulaceae
Description: LSU rRNA
Rfam family: Eukaryotic large subunit ribosomal RNA
Source: RNAcentral
UAAGCGGAGGAAAAGAAACUAACAAGGAUUCCCCUAGUAACUGCGAGUGAAGCGGGAAAAGCUCAAAUUUAAANUCUGGUGGUCUUUGGCCAUCCGAGUUGUAAUUUAGAGAAGCGUCUUNCGCGCUGGACCGUGCACAAGUCUCCUGGAAUGGAGCGUCAUAGAGGGUGAGAAUCCCGUCUUUGGCAUGGACACACCAGGGCUUUUGUGAUGCGCUCUCGAAGAGUCGAGUUGUUUGGGAAUGCAGCUCAAAAUGGGUGGUGAACUCCAUCUAAAGCUAAAUAUUGGCGAGAGACCGAUAGCGAACAAGUACCGUGAGGGAAAGAUGAAAAGCACUUUGGAAAGAGAGUGAAACAGUACGUGAAAUUGUUGAAAGGGAAACGCUUGAAGUCAGUCACGUCGACCGAGACUCAGCCUUGCCUCGGCUUGGUGUACUUCUCGGCUGACGGGUCAGCAUCAAUUUUGCCCCUUGGAUAAUGGCGAGGGAAAUGUGACACCUUUAUGGUGUGUUAUAGUCUCUCGUCGCAUGCAAGGGUUGGGAUUGAGGAACUCAGCACGCGCCCUUUGGGUGUCGGGGCUUUGCCCACGAUACGUGCUUAGGAUGUUGGCAUAAUGGCUUUAAACGACC